AGUCGAGCGGAUGAAGGGAGCUUGCUCCUGGAUUCAGCGGCGGACGGGUGAGUAAUGCCUAGGAAUCUGCCUGGUAGUGGGGGAUAACGUCCGGAAACGGGCGCUAAUACCGCAUACGUCCUGAGGGAGAAAGUGGGGGAUCUUCGGACCUCACGCUAUCAGAUGAGCCUAGGUCGGAUUAGCUAGUUGGUGGGGUAAAGGCCUACCAAGGCGACGAUCCGUAACUGGUCUGAGAGGAUGAUCAGUCACACUGGAACUGAGACACGGUCCAGACUCCUACGGGAGGCAGCAGUGGGGAAUAUUGGACAAUGGGCGAAAGCCUGAUCCAGCCAUGCCGCGUGUGUGAAGAAGGUCUUCGGAUUGUAAAGCACUUUAAGUUGGGAGGAAGGGCAGUAAGUUAAUACCUUGCUGUUUUGACGUUACCAACAGAAUAAGCACCGGCUAACUUCGUGCCAGCAGCCGCGGUAAUACGAAGGGUGCAAGCGUUAAUCGGAAUUACUGGGCGUAAAGCGCGCGUAGGUGGUUCAGCAAGUUGGAUGUGAAAUCCCCGGGCUCAACCUGGGAACUGCAUCCAAAACUACUGAGCUAGAGUACGGUAGAGGGUGGUGGAAUUUCCUGUGUAGCGGUGAAAUGCGUAGAUAUAGGAAGGAACACCAGUGGCGAAGGCGACCACCUGGACUGAUACUGACACUGAGGUGCGAAAGCGUGGGGAGCAAACAGGAUUAGAUACCCUGGUAGUCCACGCCGUAACGAUGUCGACUAGCCGUUGGGAUCCUUGAGAUCUUAGUGGCGCAGCUAACGCGAUAAGUCGACCGCCUGGGGGAGUACGGCCGCAAGGUUAAAACUCAAAUGAAUUGACGGGGG
This 864-nucleotide ribosomal RNA is filed under the name Pseudomonas sp. MFP9. RNAcentral's name for it is "bacterial SSU rRNA". It matches the Rfam family "Bacterial small subunit ribosomal RNA", at positions 60 to 919 of the family's 1533-position model. The record is from RNAcentral. Lineage: Bacteria; Pseudomonadati; Pseudomonadota; Gammaproteobacteria; Pseudomonadales; Pseudomonadaceae.